Molecule: long non-coding RNA, 7380 nt
Filed under: Ananas comosus (pineapple)
Lineage: Eukaryota; Viridiplantae; Streptophyta; Magnoliopsida; Poales; Bromeliaceae
Description: long non-coding RNA (ACOM_LNC038186)
Source: RNAcentral
CAUGCUAUAUGCAACACGAAUAUAUGCAACAACUAGUAGAAUUAUUGAUUCUACAAUCAAUCUCACUAAUCUUAGCUCAUGUCAUCCAACUCUAAGGUUUCUACUACCUUAGGUUAUCACAUUUACCACUAGCCCUCAAGGUUCUAUCUACCUUAUUCCAGCUAGCCACCCGACUCGGCCUCGAGUCAAUCAACGGCGGAUAAUCCGCGCUCUGCCCGGCUCGAGGUGAAGGAUCCUGUCGCAUGCACCUCAGCCUGCAAGCCAAGAACCACAUCGCCCAACGGUCCGCCCGAAGGUCCGUGCACCGUGGUCAGGGAUCCGCUAGUGGGAGAGGAAACAUAGCCGCGUACACCCAUAGCCAAGAUCCCCGAUAGGGAGAGGAACAUGCCGUACACCCUAGCGCUCUUUGUUCUUGCUUAGUCAUAAUCCUCAAAGUUCUUUCCGGUGGGAGAGGAACAUCGCCGCAUACACCCGCGGUCCAAGAACUAUUGAGUUCACAAGUACUGGGAUUCCGGAAUCGACUUCACAAGUCAAGGGUCCAUAUCCAACCCUAUACUAUUGACCUAUCUAGGUCCAAUGCACUUUCCACCCUAGGUCCAACUGACUCUAGGUCUAAUGCCUCAAUUUCACAACCUAGGUUUACCUUAACUCUAGGUUCAGUUCUCAACCUAUGUUCUUUAACACUAGGUUAGAUGCCACACACCUAGAUCCCGACUCUAGGUUCAUACUCAACCUAUGUUCUUUAACACUAGGUUAGAUGCCACUCGUUAUUUAUCCUAGGUUCAACAACACUAGGUUCAAUGUCAUCUAUGUUCGACCUAUGUUUAUUAACACUAGGUUAAUGCCACUCGAUCUACUUGAUAUCCUAUUUGUCAUAUCGAGUCCAUAUGCACAUGCAUCUUAUCUAACAUGCUCACAUGAUGUUACAUGCACCUAGCAUACAUUCCAAUGCACACAUACAUAUCACUUGCAUUAUCACUAGCAUGUAUUCUAUAUCAUAUCAUUUUACAUGGAUCUACUUAGCAUUUGCAUCAUAUUAUUAACAUGCAUUAUUUACAUUUAUAUGCAUCAUCUAUAUGCCUCAUUUACAUUCAUAUGCAUCAACGUGGAUUCUUAAUCAUCUUAGACAUAAAGGGCGACCUAGUCGCUUCGGUAAACACAACCCACCUUAACUCGCGUUCCGAUUGCUCGUCGACACUUGCAAUCGGCCUCCCGCGGCACCCGUGACCCGGUUCGGCUCGAACUCUUGCGCGACCACCCGAACGGCCACCAAUCCGCGAUCCGUCUAUUCUGGAGUUUAUUCCACGACACCACGAUGCUCCCGAUCCGUUCUCAUGAUUUUUGGAGGCUUAUUCCGCGUGCUGCGGCUAUCUGUACCAAAACAGACCGUUUCGUCAAUAACUUCGCGUACACUCGUCGUAUCGUCGAACCGAGCGCACCAACGCGUUCGUUAUACCCCCAAUUAGGUUUACAGAGGGUUAAAUGAGAUCAAACCCAUCUAUUUACAAAAAUCCCAUUUUUGAUGCCCUAGUUUGCGACUACGGCAAAAACCACCAUUCGAACUCUAGAUUCAAGCAUUAAACGUCUAUUAAGCUUGCUAGAACACUAAUCAAACCAUUUCUAGAGCAUUUAGACCUAUUUCUAGAGAUCUACCAUGAGAGGGAGUAGCAAGCUUACCUCUCAAGCUAGCCCAAUGGAGAGGAAGAAGAUGAGAAGAUGAAGCUCCACCUUGCUCUUCUUCUUCUCCACCAUCUCCUUCUCCUCCUUCUUCUUCUUCUUCUUCCCCUUCUUUUCUUUCUAGAGAGAGAGAGGGAGGGUUUUGGGUUCACACGGUUGAGGGAGAGGGAGAGAAAGACCUAAUCCCCCAUUCUAUACACUCUAAUAAGUGCAAAAUUGCACUUAAGCCCCUCAACAAGCCUCUUCUUGCAACAGCCCGAACUGGGCAUUUUCGGGGUUCGGGGACCGGUCUCUGCAUGAGGGACCGGUCUCUGAGAGACCGGUCUCUCUACCUGGGACCGGUCCCAGAGAGACCUCCAGCCCAGACUUAGCCAAUUUUCAGCUUCGUCCGUUUUCGCUCCGUUUUCGCCCGUUUUCGUUCGUUUGACCUCCGAUUCGUCUCAAAUCGAACCGAGACUCUCCAAACAUGUUUUCAAACAUGUUUUCAUCAUCUUUCCAUCCUCGCUAAUGCCGGAUUUAGCUCACGGCCCAAGUUAGCCUUUCGGGUUCCGUUUUCGCGCUUAUGCGCACCGAAACGCCCGAUUGCUCCAGAACUCCACCGAACUUCACCGGAACCAUUCGAAUAGCUCUCCAAUUGAAUGUACACCAUAACUUAAUAGUUUUAGAAGUCCGGUACCUUACAUCCUCCCCUCCUUAAAAGGAGUUUCGUCCUCGAAACUAACUCACUUCAACCCAAUUAAUACUCUAACUCGGUUUAUCGAGCAAUGGGGGAUUCCAAUGCACUUUUGUGCUCCGGAGUGAUCUUUUACUCAUUGGAAUUAUCCAAAGGCCCACUACGGAGGAUGUGAGACUAGAUUCACUCACAUUUGCUAAGCAUAACCCCGAAAGCGCAUUACAGGUCUCCGCCAUUCUUGUGGUAGCGCAAGUCGAAGCUCAACGACUCCACGCGCUCCAACACCAUUUUCCAUCUGGCAUGCAAGAACUCUUCUCUGCAUCCCACACCUUAUCAGGGAACACACUCCGAUUCGAUUACCGGCAUUGCUUAAAAGCAAUAUCAUCGGUGCCUCGACCAAUCGCGAGUGCUCCAACUACAUAUGGAUCUUUGCUCUAUCGCGAGAUGGCCUACCCCGGCAUAUCUCGACUCUUAAUCCACAAGAGAGCAUCGUCCACAACUCCAUGUGGCUAUCCGGUAUUCAAGUGUCUCCAAGAGACCAAUUUCCUUUAUCUCUCAAUGGCCACUUCUAAUCUCAAAUCGCUCAACCACGAGAUGGCCUACCACGGCACAUCUCUCAAACCUCAAUCCACGAAAGAGCGUUAUCUCCAAGUUUUCCAACAUAACCCAGUCUGCCUGGGCAAGUUUCAAGCUCGGGGACCGGUCUCUCCCUGCCUGGGACCGGUCCCAGAGGGACCUCCUCAAUCUCACGUGUUCGGGAACCGGUCCCUCUGGCCUAGGGACCGGUUGCCUCGCGCUUGCCACAGCCCUCAGCCUCGGGGCAACCGGUCCCUCCCUCCUGGGACCGGUCCCCGAGAGCAAGCUCGCGUAGACAACGUUCGGGAACCGGUCCCUCCCGCCAGGGACCGGUCCCCGAGAGCAAGUUUGCCAAGUGCAAAUUCUUGCACUAUUUGCUCUCGCGGACUCCAUUGUAAUGCACUUUUGGUGCAUUUGACUUCUUCGGCUUUCACGAAGCACCCCCACUCGACAAUUAGUCGAUUUUGAGUGAAGUCCAACUCUCGCAUUUUGAGAAUUCACUUCCCUUGCACCAACUCCUCCAUGGAGUUAUCGGCUAAACCGAUUACGUCGGCUUCCACAGGUGGACCAACGGUCACCAACACCACGUAGGCCUACUGCCUAAACCCGUCGCAACUACGCAUAGCGUCCCUCGCUCGCAUCGUAGACCUAAUCAUCAUCAGGCGACAUUCUCAUUGGAGAAUUCGCACACACUCCAACCAGGAGCAACCAAGACCCCAAACCACAUCAUGUCCUCGGGUUGGGUCACCACACACUCGGUGUGUCCUCAAUCUCACGAUCUAACACGUGGCAUUCCACGUACUCGGGUCCAAGCUUGGACUACCGUCCUGACCAAUCUCUGUCCUACCCGUAGGUACCGGGCCGCUGCCUCUCGCAGCUGACUGCGCCUGCCCAAUGGGCCCAGGCUCCACAGUCCACAAAUGGUCCAGGCACGGAUCGUCCCCAAGCACUACCCGCCAACGUCGUCCUACACGACAUGCUCUGCAGAGCUACACACUCUACCGGCUCCUAAGUACCUAGUGCGAGCCACCAGCCCUCACGAGUGAUCCAUGGCCCGCUUCACACUUAGCCCUGCUGAAGUGCUACUGCCAAUUCACUCGACCGGCUGAAUCAAAACCGCACUUCACGAGUAUCUAUACUCGAGCGCUCUAUGCCUCUACGACGUCUCACACGAAGUCCAGCAUCAGGGAGCUUAGCCCAUGCGCACCGGCCACACGAGCAACAACUCGUCCACCUCAAUUCGAGGUACUACUAGGCCCACAGGCCAAACUUGGCCUCAACCAACCGCUCUCUCAACAGUGAUUCUACUCUCACUGUUCGAUCUACCGAAAUAAUAUCCGAGAUGCUCAGGCCACUCGGGUAUUCGCAACGUCACGGCGCAACUCUCGCAAUUCGAUACUCAUUGCCUUGAGAGUCGCUCCACCAUUUCACGUUCACCACGAGUCCCAUUCUUCGUCCAAGAACCAUCGCUAGCGAUUUGCUAGUACUACUUGGCUUUCUGCCUGCUCCCGCAGGUGCUACACUCUUACAAUGCAAGCAUGCUCGGGUGCUUACCUACCCGUCCACUCGGUCCCUACUAUGCAAUAUGUAAUUAGUAGGUGCUGAUCAUAUGAUAAAUGCAUGCAAUGCAUCAAUUUGAGAUUACGCAAAAGCAUAUGCUUAUGUAAUUAACUCAUACCUGCAACGGCAUCAUCGAUGGCAGCAGGUUCAUCAACCUGGGUCGCAUAUCCCUGGCCACUUGGUGCUCGCCGCGAACCCUCCGGUUGCAUCGUCCUCAACGGCCGCUCCCCCGACCAUGCCGCAGGUGGCACACCUGCAGGCUGUCCCAGAGAGGAAUGGGCCGUCGCUGGCCUCAAGGCCUGACUCUCACCUCGCGGGCACUCGUCCCGCAUAUGGCCUGGCUGUCCACAACGGAUACACCGUCCAUCACGCAGCGCACAUCGCCGCGCCUGGUGGGAACCGCCACAAAUCACACAUCCGGAGGAGGAUCGGGUAGAGGACGACCUCGAGCGGUGUCUGGAACUCGACUGACCACCCGAACCACUCGAUAAUGGCCUCGCCCCUCCUCGCUCAUGCCUACGAGAUUCGCGCUCCUCACGCACGAAAGCCUCGCCAUGCUCUGCCCACAAUGCUCGGUCCAACACCUUCGCAAAGGUUGUGAGCUGGAAGAUUUGCACCCUCCUAUAAAUCUCCGGUCGAAGUCCACGCAGGAACCAAUCGGCCUUAUCCUUGUCAUCCCGUACCACAUCCGGGACACAAUUCACGAUACGGGAGAAUUCCCGUUGGUAUUCCCUUACAGAGCGGUCUCCUUGCCGCAGCUUUCUGAACUUGUCCCGAAGCUUUCUCCUUUCAGUGUCGGGGAAGUACGUAGAAAACACUAAUCCCCGAAAUUCAUCCCACGCCAUAGGAGGAAGACUAGGCGAUCGAUCCCGUCGAAUGCCUUUCCACCACGCCUUUGCUGAUUGCUUCAAGCAAUGCACAGCUAGGGGCACCUUGUCCCGCUCCAAGGUGUAUAGCUCCUCGAAGAGCGUUUUCAUGGAGUCAAUCCACAUCUCCACGAUCCACGGAUCGACAUUCUCUCCAUCGAAAGUAGGCGGAUCAAAUUCCUUGAAAGUCAUUAGGGCCGCCAAAGUCCGUUCUUUCUCCGCCUCCAAUUCCACAGAACCAGGGGCUACCGCCCGCGAAUCCAUCGCGACUCCUGUCGGUGCACGGCACGCUGCCACCGGUGUAGUCACCGCAGGCUGUCGUGUCAACAAUUCAUGGAGCUCCUUGAUCUGCUCCUCCUGUCGCUGCACGAUGCCCAUGAGCGUAUUCAAUUGCUCGCGGAGCAUCGGGUCUUCGCUCGCCUCAGCUUGCUCAGGAACACUUGUCCCUUCCCGCGCCGAUCUGGAUAAGGAUCGCCUACGCAGUGCCAUCGCUUCCUGAAACACGACAACUCAAUUAGUUCUCGACCAACUUAGGUCGAACACGAGACCACUAACAACGGCUCAAAAGCCAAUCAGGCGAAAGUCACGCGAGGGCGUCUAUUCUCAUCACUAGGUUUCAUGUUGUCGUACGCCAACAUGAACAUCCUCGGCUGAAAAUAAACCACACCUCAAGUCUACCUCUAAUAUCCAUCUUAGAGGUUUACGACACAACCCAAUCCGUUAAUCUUUCGCCACAAAUCAUAAGUCCUCGUCUCUCACGAGCCUUAUUCUCCUAUGGUUUCCUAUCCUAGGUCUCCUAGGUCCGACUAAACCAUUUCCCAUUCUCUACUUUAUGCUCUGAUACCACUUUACCUGUCACGCCCCGAGACCGCUCCCAAUUUGGUCCGGUUCGGGCACGCCGACAGACCGCCGAACGGACCGGGGUUUCCCCUGUACGCGGACAGAGUCUCCCCUGUACGUUCUAGGCGUCGCAAUCCAAACAAUGUACAUUACAAUGGUUCCAACCAGGAACAGAUAUCAAUCAUGAUUGCGUAAGGAAGUAUCAAACAACAUAAACACAUCCUAUGUUAUUACAACAUUCACAUUAGAUUCAUUUACUUACAUCACACUUUAUAUAUUACAUUCAACUUCCAAAUACAAUCUAAGCUAUUACAAGUUUAAUACAUUUUAUUCCUUUCAUUUUCUAUACCCCUAAGCUACGCCGACGGGGUACUGCUAGCUCUGGUCUCUGGGGGUAGGGCGCUAUCUAUGGAGCUACGCCCUUGCCUCGCGCCGCCGCGCCGCUCACGUGCGAACCUGUAAAACCCCAAAACAACGUGGGGUGAGAACCAACUCCAUGGUUCCCAGUGGGUACGGCCACCCAAGGGAGGAGCUCGACCAACAGGUCCAAGGGAGGCAAAUACAAGUUAGUCCAAUAAACAGAUAGAUAUGUAUAUCAUAAACAUGCAACUAACUUUACCUUGCUUUGCCUCACAACUGCAAUGAUGUCAUGCUAUAUGCAACAGGAAUAUAUGCAACAACUAGUAGAAUUAUUGAUUCUACAAUCAAUCUCGCUAAUCUUAGCUCAUGUCAUCCAACUCUAAGGUUUCCACUACCUUAGGUUAUCACAUUUACCACUAGCCCUCAAGGUUCUAUCUACCUUAUUCCAGCUAGCCACCCGACUCGGCCUCGAGUCAAUCAACAGCGGAUAAUCCGCGCUCUGCCCGGCUCGAGGUGAAGGAUCCUGUCGCAUGCACCUCAGCCUGCAAGCCAAGAACCACAUCGCCCAACGGUCCGCCCGAAGGUCCGUGCACCGUGGUCAGGGAUCCGCCAGUGGGAGAGGAAACAUAGCCGCGUACACCCAUAGCCGAGAUCCCCGAUAGGGAGAGGAAUAUGCCGCAUCCACCCUAGCGCUCUUUGUUCUUGCUUAGUCAUAAUCCUCAAAGUUCUUUCCGGUGGGAGAGGAACAUCGCCGCAUACACCCGCGGUCCAAGAACUAUUGAGUUCACAAGUACUGGGAUUCCGGAAUCGACUUCACAAGUCAAGGGU